AUCCCUGUGGCUCAGUUGGUAGAGCAUGGUGUUUGCAACGCCAGCAUGGUGUGUGCAACGCCAGGGUUGUGGGUUCGAUUCCCACGGGGGGCU
This 93-nucleotide transfer RNA is filed under the name Salmo salar (Atlantic salmon). It matches the Rfam family "tRNA". Rfam says of the family: Transfer RNA (tRNA) molecules are approximately 80 nucleotides in length. Their secondary structure includes four short double-helical elements and three loops (D, anti-codon, and T loops). Further hydrogen bonds mediate the characteristic L-shaped molecular structure. tRNAs have two regions of fundamental functional importance: the anti-codon, which is responsible for specific mRNA codon recognition, and the 3' end, to which the tRNAs corresponding amino acid is attached (by aminoacyl-tRNA synthetases). tRNAs cope with the degeneracy of the genetic code in two manners: having more than one tRNA (with a specific anti-codon) for a particular amino acid; and 'wobble' base-pairing, i.e. permitting non-standard base-pairing at the 3rd anti-codon position. The record is from Rfam by way of RNAcentral. Lineage: Eukaryota; Metazoa; Chordata; Actinopteri; Salmoniformes; Salmonidae.